This 253-nucleotide ribosomal RNA is filed under the name uncultured bacterium. RNAcentral's name for it is "partial 16S ribosomal RNA". It matches the Rfam family "Bacterial small subunit ribosomal RNA", at positions 524 to 776 of the family's 1533-position model. The record is from RNAcentral.
UACGUAGGGGGCAAGCGUUGCUCGGAAUCACUGGGCGUAAAGCGCACGUAGGCGGCUUCUUAAGUCAGGGGUGAAAUCCUGGAGCUCAACUCCAGAACUGCCUUUGAUACUGAGAAGCUUGAGUCCGGGAGAGGUGAGUGGAACUGCGAGUGUAGAGGUGAAAUUCGUAGAUAUUCGCAAGAACACCAGUGGCGAAGGCGGCUCACUGGCCCGGUACUGACGCUGAGGUGCGAAAGCGUGGGGAGCAAACAGG